GAAUAUAUAAACAGAUGUGUAUGACAAAACGGAAGCAGGGCGUGUUCCACUGGAGGGUCCACAACUUUAAGGAAGACAGAGGAAUGAGUGACUGCUUCUGCCUGGAGAGUCAGUUACCUUGGAAAUAGGAGAAAAUGGGUUUGUCCUUGAAAGAUGAUAUUAGAGCGGAACUGUUCUUUCCUGCCCAGAUGUUUCCUUCUGUGUGGAAAGAGCCUAAUUAUUGUAACACGCUGACCUCUGUCCCCCUUUCCUCUCUCCGCACUAGGAUUUAUGAAAUUACCGCACUGAUGGUUAAUGAAGAAUGUCACUGUUGACUGUGCACCUCCCUUUUUUUCUCUGGGGUGUGAGCUUGCCUGCAGGGAGGCAGUUCUGCUCUGCUGGUUUAGGCUUUGUCUUACCUGGGCAGGUGGCUCUAGUCCAGAGGCCUGCCCCAGUUGGUCAUGACCCAUGACUGGAUGGAUAGGUCUGUGAAACUCUGAAAUUAGUUGGCAGUCCCAGUUGACCUGUAAUCACUUUUCUACCUUAUUCUGUGUUAGAACCUUCCAGGCAGUCAUUGAAAUUCCUUGUCACCUUGCAUAGAAAUGGCACAGUGUCCUGGUGCUGGGCUGAGCUGCAUUUUCCAGCCUCCUUUGCUGUUGGACGUGUGCUGCCUGGUGAGGAAGUCACAGCCAUGGGACAUGAGAAGUGACACCAAGGCUUCUGAGCAUAUGUGUGACCUUCCUCUUCACUCUUUUCCCUACAGUGGCUGGAUGCAGAUGAAGAUGAAGCCUUGGGGAUGGCUGUGCUGUGAGUUGAAACGAUCCUGGGCUCUGAGUCAUUGUGUGGAGCAGUCCUACACGCCAACAAAACCACGUGCCUUGGACUGCAAUUUUUAA
Molecule: long non-coding RNA, 875 nt
Organism: Papio anubis (olive baboon)
Lineage: Eukaryota; Metazoa; Chordata; Mammalia; Primates; Cercopithecidae
Source: Ensembl